This 98-nucleotide small RNA is filed under the name Marmota monax (woodchuck). Lineage: Eukaryota; Metazoa; Chordata; Mammalia; Rodentia; Sciuridae. The record is from RNAcentral.
GUUAGACAUGGUGGCACGUACCUGUAAUCCCAGCUACUUGGAGACUGAGGCAGGAAGAUUGCAAAUUUAAGAUCUGUUUGAACAAUUUUAGGCCUUUU